CGCGUAGGUGGUAGUGUAAGUCUGGGGUGGAAUCCCAGGGCUUAACCCUGGAACUGCCUUGGAAACUGUAUUACUUGAGUCAGUGAGGGGAGGGUAGAAUUCCUGGUGUAGCGGUGAAAUGCGUAGAUAUCAGGAGGAAGGCCUGUGGCGAAGGCGGCCCUCUGGCGCUGGACUGACACUGAGGCGCGAGAGCGUGGGGAGCAAACAGGAUUAGAUACCCUGGUAGUCCACGCCCUAAACGGUGGGCACUAGGUGUAGGGCUCGUAAGGGUUCUGUGCCGAAGGGAAACCAUUAAGUGCCCCGCCUGGGGAGUACGGCCGCAAGGUUGAA
Molecule: ribosomal RNA, 330 nt
Filed under: uncultured bacterium
Lineage: Bacteria
Description: bacterial SSU rRNA
Rfam family: Bacterial small subunit ribosomal RNA
Source: RNAcentral